GGGGAUCUGGUUUAGGGGUAUAACGUCUCAUUCGCAUUGAGAAGGUCUUGGGUUCGAUUCCCAAGUUCUCCA
This 72-nucleotide transfer RNA is filed under the name Pyronema omphalodes CBS 100304. Its description in RNAcentral is "tRNA-Ala". It matches the Rfam family "tRNA". Rfam says of the family: Transfer RNA (tRNA) molecules are approximately 80 nucleotides in length. Their secondary structure includes four short double-helical elements and three loops (D, anti-codon, and T loops). Lineage: Eukaryota; Fungi; Ascomycota; Pezizomycetes; Pezizales; Pyronemataceae. The record is from RNAcentral.